Molecule: ribosomal RNA, 500 nt
Filed under: uncultured bacterium
Lineage: Bacteria
Description: partial 16S ribosomal RNA
Rfam family: Bacterial small subunit ribosomal RNA
Source: RNAcentral
AUUGAACGCUGGCGGCAUGCCUUACACAUGCAAGUCGAACGGCAGCACGGGAGCAAUCCUGGUGGCGAGUGGCGAACGGGUGAGUAAAGUAUCGGAACGUGCCCAGUCGUGGGGGAUAACGUAGCGAAAGUUACGCUAAUACCGCAUACGAUCUAUGGAUGAAAGCGGGGGAUCGCAAGACCUCGCGCGAUUGGAGCGGCCGAUAUCAGAUUAGGUAGUUGGUGGGGUAAAGGCUCACCAAGCCGACGAUCUGUAGCUGGUCUGAGAGGACGGCCAGCCACACUGGGACUGAGACACGGCCCAGACUCCUACGGGAGGCAGCAGUGGGGAAUUUUGGACAAUGGGCGAAAGCCUGAUCCAGCCAUGCCGCGUGCAGGAUGAAGGCCUUCGGGUUGUAAACUGCUUUCGUACGGAACGAAAAGGUUUGGCCUAAUAAGCUGAGCUCAUGACGGUACCGUAAGAAUAAGCACCGGCUAACUACGUGCCAGCCGCCGCAGUAA